Long non-coding RNA from Cervus elaphus (red deer), 312 nucleotides. RefSeq lists it as uncharacterized. The record is from RefSeq and is a predicted model, not a curated record. The transcript has 3 exons. NCBI's taxonomy places the organism in Eukaryota, Metazoa, Chordata, Mammalia, Artiodactyla, Cervidae.
UGGCAAGUCUCUAAACCUCAGUUCCCUCACCUGUCAAAAGGAUGUGAUGACAUCCAGAUUGAGAGGAGUAGGUGAGAAGAGCAUACAAUGCCUGGCUGGCACAGAUCUGGAGUACACAGGUGGAUUCUUUACCAGCUGAGCUCCCAGAGAAGGCCCGAAGGAACUAUACCCCAGUUUUGAAAAAAAAGAAGUCUAUGAGGAGAGCCGGGUACCUCUGGCAGAAGACUGGGGCUCUAGUCCCUGGAGCAGACUGCCUGACCAGCAGAGGAUGGCAAGCUGACCGGACUCAAAUAGGGGAUUAAGUGAGUACAU